UGGCUCAGAUUGAACGCUGGCGGCAGGCCUAACACAUGCAAGUCGAGCGGAUGAAGAGAGCUUGCUCUCUGAUUCAGCGGCGGACGGGUGAGUAAUGCCUAGGAAUCUGCCUGGUAGUGGGGGACAACGUCUCGAAAGGGACGCUAAUACCGCAUACGUCCUACGGGAGAAAGCAGGGGACCUUCGGGCCUUGCGCUAUCAGAUGAGCCUAGGUCGGAUUAGCUAGUUGGUGAGGUAAUGGCUCACCAAGGCGACGAUCCGUAACUGGUCUGAGAGGAUGAUCAGUCACACUGGAACUGAGACACGGUCCAGACUCCUACGGGAGGCAGCAGUGGGGAAUAUUGGACAAUGGGCGAAAGCCUGAUCCAGCCAUGCCGCGUGUGUGAAGAAGGUCUUCGGAUUGUAAAGCACUUUAAGUUGGGAGGAAGGGUUGUAGAUUAAUACUCUGCAAUUUUGACGUUACCGACAGAAUAAGCACCGGCUAACUCUGUGCCAGCAGCCGCGGUAAUACAGAGGGUGCAAGCGUUAAUCGGAAUUACUGGGCGUAAAGCGCGCGUAGGUGGUUUGUUAAGUUGGAUGUGAAAGCCCCGGGCUCAACCUGGGAACUGCAUUCAAAACUGACAAGCUAGAGUAUGGUAGAGGGUGGUGGAAUUUCCUGUGUAGCGGUGAAAUGCGUAGAUAUAGGAAGGAACACCAGUGGCGAAGGCGACCACCUGGACUGAUACUGACACU
RNAcentral lists this ribosomal RNA (732 nucleotides) under Pseudomonas sp. 120221_PC_C1_B5. RNAcentral describes it as "bacterial SSU rRNA". It matches the Rfam family "Bacterial small subunit ribosomal RNA", at positions 20 to 747 of the family's 1533-position model. The record is from RNAcentral. Lineage: Bacteria; Pseudomonadati; Pseudomonadota; Gammaproteobacteria; Pseudomonadales; Pseudomonadaceae. RNAcentral also lists the same sequence under 1 other name.